RNAcentral lists this ribosomal RNA (494 nucleotides) under uncultured bacterium. RNAcentral describes it as "bacterial SSU rRNA". It matches the Rfam family "Bacterial small subunit ribosomal RNA", at positions 903 to 1397 of the family's 1533-position model. The record is from RNAcentral.
AAAGGAAUAGACGGGGGCCCGCACAAGCGGAGGAACAUGUGGUUUAAUUCGAUGAUACGCGAGGAACCUUACCCGGGCUUGAAUUGCAGACUGAGGUGCCGGAGACGGCACCGUCCUUCGGGAAGUCUGUGAAGGUGCUGCAUGGUUGUCGUCAGCUCGUGCCGUGAGGUGUCGGCUCAAGUGCCAUAACGAGCGCAACCCCUGUCUCCCGUUGCCAUCAGGUUAAGCUGGGCACACCGGAGAGACUGCCGCCGUAAGGUGCGAGGAAGGUGGGGAUGACGUCAAAUCAGCACGGCCCUUACGUCCGGGGCUACACACGUGUUACAAUGGCCGGUACAGAGCGAAGGCGUCCCGCAAGGUCCGCCGAAGCGCCAAAGCCGGCCCCAGUACGGACUGGGGUCUGCAACCCGACCCCACGAAGCUGGAUUCGCUAGUAAUCGCGCAUCAGCCAUGACGCGGUGAAUACGUUCCCGGGCCUUGUACACACCGCCCGU